Molecule: ribosomal RNA, 247 nt
Filed under: uncultured bacterium
Lineage: Bacteria
Description: partial 16S ribosomal RNA
Rfam family: Bacterial small subunit ribosomal RNA
Source: RNAcentral
GAGUAACGCGUGGGUAACCUGCCUCAUACAGGGGGAUAACAGUUAGAAAUGACUGCUAAUACCGCAUAAGCGCACAGUGCUGCAUGGCACAGUGUGAAAAACUCCGGUGGUGUGAGAUGGACCCGCGUCUGAUUAGCCAGUUGGCGGGGUAACGGCCCACCAAAGCGACGAUCAGUAGUCGGCCUGAGAGGGUGAACGGCCACAUUGGGACUGAGACACGGCCCAAACUCCUACGGGAGGCAGCAUG